Molecule: long non-coding RNA, 2888 nt
Organism: Pipra filicauda (Wire-tailed manakin)
Lineage: Eukaryota; Metazoa; Chordata; Aves; Passeriformes; Pipridae
Exons: 3
Source: RefSeq, a predicted model, not a curated record
CCACGUUGGGCGCAUUAAUUUUGUGCCCUCUCCCACCGAUUCCCUUUCGGAGCGCUCCCGGCGGGAAACCGCCCGCUUCACGUUGGGCGCAGCAGUUUUGUGCCCCUCACCCGUUUGGAGGCAUCCCGGCGGGAAAACACCGCCCCACCAUCCCUGAGGGGGAUUCACCGCCCGCUCCGCCUUGGGCCCAGCGCUUUUGUGCCCCUCGCUCUUUAGGAGCGCUCCCGGCGGGAAAGUGCCGCCUCACCACCCUCUCCCAACAUCCCUGAGGGGGAUUCACAGCCUGCUCCAGGUUGGGAGCAUUACUUUUGUUCCCCUCGUUCUUUUGGAGCGCUCCCGGCUGGAAAAUACCGGCUCGCCACCCUCUCCCACCAUCCCUGAGGGGGAUUCACCGCCAGCGCUCCGGAGAACCGGGAGGCUCCUGAGGGAAUCCCGCAAAUACAGCCUGUGGAAGACUCAGCUGGAGCUGUUUGCAGUUGGUUAACACCCAUCUUAUGGAAUGGCAUCCAGUCCAGAACCAGGAACUUUAGAGGAAAAUCCUCCAGUUACUGCAGAGGUCCCAGGACUCUGCGCUUCAGCCCAGCAGUAACACAGGAGUCAGGAAUUCUGGUCCUGCCAGAAACAGCAGCUGUUGGAGCUGUUCAGUGAUGCAGAAACCCCACAGGAGAGGAUUUGUGUGGGCAGAACGAAGACAAGGUCGCAGAACACGCCAGGAGAGUUCCAGGGUACAUGUGCACAGCAGCACAGGAAUAUCCUGAAAAAGGCUAAGAAUAUCCUGAAUUUCCUCAGCUGCAGUCUGCUGCAGUUCAGGAAAAUGACAUCAUUGCACCACCACGACCACGGGCUCCAUAGGAGUUUCAUCCUUCCCUCUGAGAACCUUACGGACACGAGUAAUCCCUCCCAGCUCCACAGGGCUUGUGCUGAUGGAAAACUCUCCUCUCGGGAGCAAGCCUUGCUAAGCUCUGGCUCAGUUCUUAUUGAGGUAAAACAGGACCAGGGUCACAGAGGUGCAGCCCAAAUUAUUCAAAUUAUAACAGAAAAUGAGCAGCAGAGCCUGGGCCUGUGUGUUCUGUACACCUCAGGCUGGCUCUGCGUCUGGAACUGGGACAGCGCCCAUUUAUCCAGCCUGGAAUUCCACGAGAACAGGGUCUCUAAAAAACCAACCUCAUCCCAGGACUAUAAAACAACUUCUCACAGCUACACCUGUUUUUCCAUGCUUUCUCUGUAACAGCCAUGCAGCUCAUCCGAAGUGGGAAGAAGGCAAUUCAAAAACACAGCUUCUGCCAGCACCUCUGGGGAGAAAUCAUUGGCAGCACUCCGAGACCUCUGUCACCAACCAGCAAAGUCUCACCUAACACAGACUCUAACACUUGAAACAGCAGUUCCUGGGUUUUGUGGCUUUUUUCAUUUGAAAACCAUUAAAUUAAAAGGGAGCAUCUCCUCCCAUGUGCCAACUAACACCAUGUGUUAAGGCAAAGCACGUAUGAAACAGAACGGCAAGUGAGCCAGUGAGUCAACUUUGCCCUCACACCCCUGUUUACAAUCAAUUUGCAAUAAUUUAUUACAGUUUAUAAUUCUGAAAUCUUUCUUGGAGGAGAGAUACCGGAAGAGUUUUCAGCUCAGCAUUACAUCAGAACUACAGGCACAAGAGUUCUCUGCUGAAACUCUCAAAACAGGAUGGUGUCCAGGGGAAAUAAUGUCCCACCACCUUUGCUGAACAGCCCCAAACCAUUUCCUCACAGGUGAUUCGAGGGUGGAAUAUUUUAAUGCAGGACUUGGCAGAAAAAAACCCUUCCAUACAUAUUUUCCUUCCAUGGAUAUUUCCCCUCCUUCUUCUAAGCAUAUUUUAAAAUUAAAAUCUCUCAAAACAAAUUCUCUCAGCAGUGCCAUUUACUAUACAGAUAAAUAACAAACAACUCAGGAGGGUACAACUCAUGACAGUGCAGAAUUUCUUCAGAACAAGACAAAAAAACACAGGAGUUGCCAGAAUGAAGUUCUUAAACUAUAACUGGACAUGUUUUUAAAUAGUGUUAGUGCCUACACUCCCUGAAAACAUCCAGGUUGCUGAUAUUUAAUAGUGUUACACACAAAGUACUUCAUAAAAAAACAAAACCCAAUGCACAUGUAUCUGAAAUGGUGCAGAAUCCUUGUGCAACGUGCAGGUGCUUAUUUCUCUGUAGAAAAAGCCCUUUUCAUCAAUGGUGGGGGUGCUUUUCCAACGUCAAACAUCAUUUCCAGAGGAGGAUUGUUCAGGCAGCACCAGUCGGGAAUGCGGCCUGUCUGGCUGUAAUAUUCCUUGGACACGGAUCGGCUCCCAAGUAUGUCCUGGAGUGCUCCAAAAAUGGCUCCUGCAUUAUUGGGAAGGAAGAAAAAAACCUGCAUUAAUUUGAUGUACUGAAUUUCAUUUUCUAAUUCUUCCCAUCCAGAAUCUCAACUGGUUGGGCUUUUUCAGCUCUGUCCCACAAAUUAAAGGCUUUCCUUUUUUCCUUUUCAGUAGCCCAGCUAAUCCCAAACUGCUUCCAUUUAUGUCCCUUGAAAGUAACUGAAAACAAAGAAUCAUCUACUCUCUGCUGACAGCAAACCCGGCCUGGUUAACCAACUUCUUAUGACAAAGCUUCCUAAAAGUUUUUAUUUUAAGCACUUCAACCAAACCCCCUUUGUAAGGGGUUGUUCAAGGCAAUUUCCUCUCCUCAAAAAGUUAUCCCACAAGUUCACACAAGCUGUGAGAAGGUCCAGCCCGUGGCAGCUGACCAGAGCUGCCAGGGAAGAAAAGCAUCAAGAACUUGGUGCCUAGAAACUGUCCUGGUUUGCUAAUCCUAAAAAUAAGAGGUUUGAAAACUAAAAGUUUAUGGUGUUAGUUACUGGCACUUGUGACCAGCACAGGGAGU